AUGAGACCUGAGGCCAAAAAUAAGUAUAUGAAAAAUCACUAGAUGACAAUCGAAGUCCCUCUUUCUUUAUUAAAAAAGGCUUUUCGCCCUCAACUUUGUGCCUUGAGGCUGGCUUUGAGGAAGAAAAGCUGCUGUCAACUCCAAAACCUCUGGGUCGGAUCCUGCCCCACGUGGUCCUCACUUCAGGUCCCACAUUUAUCUUCCUUUGUUUGAUUUCCCUCAAAUCUCUUGCCCCUUCUAGGUCAGGUUCGUAUUCAAACCUUCUUUCCAAAUCAGUCCUUGUUCAUUUCAUUCGUGGUGCUCUUGGCACAAUGCUGGUGGAAGUAGAGUGGCUAUUGCUCCUGACCAUUCAAAGUAGUCAUUCUUGGAAAACAAUGCAUGGCAUGCUCUGCGUUCAUGUCCUCAUAUUUGUGAUGCUCGCUUUCUUUUAUUGCUUGGCAGCUUUUCCCAAUCUUCCGGAUAGUAACCGCGCCAUUCAUAGCCAUCGGGGAAACAGCCCUCUUCCCUCGGUCCGUCUUGCUUCUGCUUGA
Vicia faba (fava bean) is the source of this 530-nucleotide non-coding RNA. The record is from the annotation of a GenBank genome assembly. Lineage: Eukaryota; Viridiplantae; Streptophyta; Magnoliopsida; Fabales; Fabaceae.